This is a long non-coding RNA of Helicoverpa zea (corn earworm), 549 nucleotides long. RefSeq lists it as uncharacterized. Lineage: Eukaryota; Metazoa; Arthropoda; Insecta; Lepidoptera; Noctuidae. The transcript is spliced from 2 exons. The record is from RefSeq and is a predicted model, not a curated record.
AGUACCAAUCUUUAAAAAAAUACAAUUUUUUGUUCUUUUUGGCUUGUCAUUAUUGUAUAUUUUGGUAGAAAAAAUAUUUGAAUGUGGUUCCAUUGAAAAAUAGCAGUCAAAUUCAAAAUGUCUUCGAAGCGGUCUGGUGUAUCCGGGUCACGGCAGUGCUUGAACCUGAAAUGACCUGAUUUAGCAGAUAUGCUUAUAUCUUUGCACCCGACCCCUUUCAAGACGUCGGCUCUUGAAAGGGGUCCGGUACAUGGUGGAAUUUGGGUAGGUGAAGGAGAAAAUAAUUCAGAAACCUACAGCUGAACGGCCGGUGGACAGUGUCAGAAAAUGCUGUCGGACAUUUUCCAGAAAUAGCAGAUAAGCAAUCACGCUGUAGAUUUUGCAAAGAUAGAAGAACUAAAGUUUUUUGCGUGAAAUGCAAUGUGCUCUUGUGUUUUAUGGUAGGAGAAAGUAACAAAAGAAAUUGCUUCCGCUAAUCUCACACGCAAUAAAUGCAUAUUAUGUAGUUUGAUAAGAAUUAUGAUUAAUAAAGUGAAGAUUUUACUAAAA